CGGGGUGUAAUGUCAGUCUGGUAGACGGCUCGCUUUGGAUGCGAGAGGUCGCUGGUUCGAAUCCAGCCUCCCCGACCA
Molecule: transfer RNA, 78 nt
Filed under: Vibrio phage Thalassa
Lineage: Duplodnaviria; Heunggongvirae; Uroviricota; Caudoviricetes; Demerecviridae
Also listed under: 17 other names
Description: tRNA-Pro
Rfam family: tRNA
About the family: Transfer RNA (tRNA) molecules are approximately 80 nucleotides in length. Their secondary structure includes four short double-helical elements and three loops (D, anti-codon, and T loops).
Source: RNAcentral